GUGCUUGCUUCAGAAGCACAUAUACUAAAACCAGAACUAUUCAGAGAAGAUCACCAUGGCCCCUGUGCAAGGAUGACGUGCAAAUUCGUGAAGUAUUCCAUAUUUUU
This is a small nuclear RNA of Ochotona princeps (American pika), 107 nucleotides long. NCBI's taxonomy places the organism in Eukaryota, Metazoa, Chordata, Mammalia, Lagomorpha, Ochotonidae. The record is from RefSeq and is a predicted model, not a curated record.